CAAAAUGCUGGCAACUUCUUGCAGUGUCCAUACGAUUCGAUUGGACUCUGCAGCCUAUACGCAGGGUAGUCUGCCAUGAUAUGCUCUCAAGUCAACGAUGCCCACCGCAUGAAAACUCGUUGCUCUCAAAGCCGAAGGGGAAGGGAGUGCCACGCCGCAUAAUUCUUGCUUUCUCGAUAACCUUAACCCCCAUUUCGCUGGACAAUCUGAUGAACCAGUACUCGUAGCUCGUAAUCACAAGCCCGUAAGCACUAUUUCUACACUGCAAGGCAAAAGAAAAGCAGCCUGACUCCGAAGUGCAGCUCCUCUAUCAUGUACCCUCCACACAGUUCACGGACAGUAAACUAAAAAUGUUCAAAGGCUGCUUGGAGGAAACUUCCCAGUGCCUCCUUUUCCUACUCUCAUACUUCUCAUCUACGAGAGAUGUCGUGGUAUUUGAUUCUCUCAUUCUCCUCAUAUAUUGAUCUCGGUUCUUGAAAAAGAUGAACUAGGUCAGAAAGACUAUGGCUCUUAAUCAGCUGGAGGAACGAGAAGCUGCACG
RNAcentral lists this long non-coding RNA (541 nucleotides) under Setaria italica (foxtail millet). Its description in RNAcentral is "long non-coding RNA (SITA_LNC005758)". The record is from RNAcentral. Lineage: Eukaryota; Viridiplantae; Streptophyta; Magnoliopsida; Poales; Poaceae.